This 595-nucleotide long non-coding RNA is filed under the name Pan troglodytes (chimpanzee). RNAcentral's name for it is "lincRNA". Lineage: Eukaryota; Metazoa; Chordata; Mammalia; Primates; Hominidae. The record is from RNAcentral.
GCGCCACCGGAAAAAGAAAUUCCCGGGCCCUGGCUUCUUGGCCUGAUGGUGAGGCACCAGAGGCAGUCCUAGCCUCGAAGCCUCCAGCCUGCUGGAUGCCUCCAUCCCCGGCUAUGCUGUGGCUCUCCUCAUUCUAGGCCUCCUGCUCGUCACAUUCACCCUUGUCCUGGUGCUAAAGUGGAGGGCCUCCCAUGGGGUGUUCAGCCUGGGUGUGUAGAAGCACAUAGUGUGGUACAGAGGACCCUCUCCAGACAGGUGACCCCUCACGCUGCUGCUCCCUCUGCUGAAACCCAAACUGCAAACCUCUCCUCUCCCUGCCUUCACCUUGCCCCACGGCUUCCACAGACAGUGCCUCAACCCCGAGGAAUGAAUCCGAAGUUCCAACACCACUGACUUUCCCAGGAACUCAGAGCCAGAGAGGGCCAAGGACCAGCUCGAGGACACACAGCCAGGGCUUCUUCCCUCCGAAACCCCCAAGGACUGGACUUGCAGGGCUGGGACAGAGGUGGGGUGGUGGAAAGCAAUGCCUUGUCAACCCACGUUGGGGAGCCCCACUCCCAUCCCCAAGGUGCAUAAAGUUGAGGAACACCCCUGC